RNAcentral lists this ribosomal RNA (465 nucleotides) under uncultured bacterium. Its description in RNAcentral is "partial 16S ribosomal RNA". It matches the Rfam family "Bacterial small subunit ribosomal RNA", at positions 28 to 507 of the family's 1533-position model. The record is from RNAcentral.
GACGAACGCUGGCGGCGUGCUUAACACAUGCAAGUCGAACGGAAAGGCCCUGCUUGCAGGGUACUCGAGUGGCGAACGGGUGAGUAACACGUGGGUGAUCUGCCCUGCACUUCGGGAUAAGCCUGGGAAACUGGGUCUAAUACCGGAUAGGAGCCAUUUUUAGUGUGAUGGUUGGAAAGUUUUUUCGGUGUAGGAUGAGCUCGCGGCCUAUCAGCUUGUUGGUGGGGUAAUGGCCUACCAAGGCGGCGACGGGUAGCCGGCCUGCGAGGGUGGACGGCCACAUUGGGACUGAGAUACGGCCCAGACUCCUACGGGAGGCAGCAGUGGGGAAUAUUGCACAAUGGGCGCAAGCCUGAUGCAGCGACGCCGGGUGGGGGAUGACGGCCUUCGGGUUGUAAACUCCUUUCGCUAGGGACGAAGCUUUUUGUGACGGUACCUAGAUAAGAAGCACCGGCUAACUACGUG